This 480-nucleotide ribosomal RNA is filed under the name uncultured bacterium. RNAcentral describes it as "bacterial SSU rRNA". It matches the Rfam family "Bacterial small subunit ribosomal RNA", at positions 28 to 502 of the family's 1533-position model. The record is from RNAcentral.
GAUGAACGCUAGCGGCAGGCCUAAUACAUGCAAGACGAACGGUAAGUUUGAUAGCAAUAUUGAACCUAGAGUGUCGUAAGGGUGCGUAACACGUAUGCAAUCUACCCUCAACAGGAGGAUAGCUCCCCGAAAGGGGAAUUAACACUCCAUAAGAUCACAGGAUGGCAUCAUUCAGUGAUUAAAACUCCGGUGGUUGAGGAUGAGCAUGCGCAUGAUUAGUUAGUUGGCGGGGUAAUGGCCCACCAAGACGAUGAUCAUUAGGGGAACUGAGAGGUUGAUCCCCCACACUGGCACUGAGAUACGGGCCAGACUCCUACGGGAGGCAGCAGUAGGGAAUAUUGGACAAUGGGUGCGAGCCUGAUCCAGCCAUGCCGCGUGCAGGAAGACGGCCUUCUGGGUUGUAAACUGCUUUUGCCUAGGGGAUAAAAGACCGAUGCGUGGUCAAUUGAAGGUACCUGGGUGAAUAAGCCACGGCUAACU